RNAcentral lists this ribosomal RNA (253 nucleotides) under uncultured bacterium. RNAcentral's name for it is "partial 16S ribosomal RNA". It matches the Rfam family "Bacterial small subunit ribosomal RNA", at positions 524 to 776 of the family's 1533-position model. The record is from RNAcentral.
UACGGAGGGAGCUAGCGUUGUUCGGAAUUACUGGGCGUAAAGCGCACGUAGGCGGCUUUGUAAGUUAGAGGUGAAAGCCCGGGGCUCAACUCCGGAAUUGCCUUUAAGACUGCAUCGCUAGAAUUGUGGAGAGGUAAGUGGAAUUCCGAGUGUAGAGGUGAAAUUCGUAGAUAUUCGGAAGAACACCAGGGGCGAAGGCGACUUACUGGACACAUAUUGACGCUGAGGUGCGAAAGCGUGGGGAGCAAACAGG